AGAGUUUGAUCCUGGCUCAGAACGAACGCUGGCGGCGUGCUUAACACAUGCAAGUCGAACGAGAACGUCCCUUCGGGGGCUAUUAAAGUGGCAAACGGGUGAGUAACGCGUAGGUAACCUACCCCAAGGUACGGAACAACGUCUCGAAAGGGGCGCUAAUACCGUAUGUGGUCUUCCUAAUUAGUUUCUGGAAGAAAAAAGCCGCAAGGCGCCUUGGGAUGGGCUUGCGUCCUAUUAGCUUGUUGGUGGGGUAACGGCCUACCAAGGCAGUGAUGGGUAGCCGGCCUGAGAGGGUGAACGGCCACACUGGGACUGAGAUACGGCCCAGACUCCUACGGGAGGCAGCAGUGAGGAAUAUUGCGCAAUGGACGAAAGUCUGACGCAGCAACGCCGCGUGGGUGAUGAAGCUUUUCGGAGUGUGAAGCCCUGUCACUGGGGAAGAAGAUAUGACGGUACCCAGAGAGGAAGCCCCGGCUAACUCCGUGCCAGCAGCCGCGGUAAUACGGGGGGGGCAAGCGUUGUUCGGAAUUACUGGGCGUAAAGCGCGUGUAGGUGGCCUUAUAAGUCGGUUGUGAAAGCCCCCGGCUCAACCGGGGAAUUGCUUCCGAAACUAUAAAGCUAGAGUGCAGGAGAGGAGAGUGGAAUUCCCAGUGUAGCGGUGAAAUGCAUAGAUAUUGGGAGGAACACCGGUGGCGAAAGCGACUCUCUGGACUGCUACUGACACUGAGACGCGAAAGCUAGGGGAGCGAACGGGAUUAGAUACCCCGGUAGUCCUAGCCGUAAACGAUGGGUACUAGGUGUGGGGAGUAUCGAUCCUCCCUGUGCCGUAGCUAACGCAUUAAGUACCCCGCCUGGGGAUUACGUUCGCAAGAAUGAAACUCAAAGGAAUUGACGGGGGCCCGCACAAGCGGUGGAGCAUGUGGUUUAAUUCGAUGCAACGCGAAGAACCUUACCAGGGCUUGACAUGCUUAUGCUGAAUCUGGAAACAGAUUGUUUUUUCCUUCGGGGAAAACAUUUGCACAGGUGCUGCAUGGCUGUCGUCAGCUCGUGUCGUGAGAUGUUGGGUUAAGUCCCGCAACGAGCCAACCCUCAUCCUUAAUUGCCAACAGUUCGGCUGGGGACUUUAAGGAAACUGCCGGUGACAAGCCGGAGGAAGGUGGGGAUGACGUCAAGUCAGCAUGGCCCUUACGCCCUGGGCUACACACGUGCUACAAUGGUCGGUACAAUGGGUUGCGAUGCUGCAAAGCGGAGCCAAUCUCAAAAAGCCGGUCCCAGUUCGGAUUGAAGUCUGCAACUCGACUUCAUGAAGGUGGAAUCGCUAGUAAUCGCGGAUCAGCACGCCGCGGUGAAUACGUUCCC
This 1359-nucleotide ribosomal RNA is filed under the name metagenome. Its description in RNAcentral is "bacterial SSU rRNA". It matches the Rfam family "Bacterial small subunit ribosomal RNA", at positions 8 to 1375 of the family's 1533-position model. The record is from RNAcentral.